AGUUUUUUGGGUUCAUUGAGAACAUGGUUGUUGUUCAAUAAUAAAAUUAUUCCUCAAAAAUACAACUUGCCUAAUAAUUCUGCACUCCCUGUAGAUUCCGCCUGAGUUGUGUUGUUAUGACUGUAUAAAUUACAGACUAUAAAGAAGGCGUUGUCCAAUUUGAAAACCAGAAUAAUCCAUCUGCCUUCAUCUGAAGACAAUGAUACAAUAAUAUUACCUUUAAAGUUGUUAAGGAGAAUGGCUACGCCUGCCGAAUGUUGAGAGGCGUGGCAAAAAUAACACUGAUCACCCCACUGUGCUUUCCAGAAUUUUACAUCAUUAUCACUCGAAUGAGUUUCUUGUAGAAAAAUCAAAUCAGCAUUUUUCCGUCUACAGAAAAUGAAAAUUGACUUUCUUUUGGUACUGUCACGAAUACCUCGAACAUUAAGGGAUAGUAUUUUUAAGGAACUGAAAUGUAAGUCUGUCAUAAGAAAAGAAGGGAAUGAAUAAAGUGAACUGGAUGUCUGUUAAACUAACUAGAAACUUAUAAGGUGCUAAGGUAUAAACACCUAAAGAAGAUACUCUCAAAAGGGAACACUAAGUGUUGAGUACCUAAGUAAAAUUCUUCAGACUCUUUGGUUUUUCCCCCCCCGAUGCAGUGACCCAAAUGCUUAAGCAAAUUAACAUUUAUACACCAAUAAAAGUAGGAUAUUUAACUACUCACACUGUAAAACAUAAGCAAGUUCAAACAUAACCAUAAUAAUGUUUGCCAGAUAUUGGUACAACUAACUUGGAGGUAUAAAAGUUUUAUAGAAAAUUUAAAGAGGAUAUUAUUGGUUGUAAACAUAUUACCUAAUGAACCUGAGGUAUUUCAAGCAAAAACACAAAACAAAAACAAUAUACAAGUGCCUCAAAAUGAUUAAAUAUUGAACAGUAACAUUGGGAGCCUGAGGUAGUUGAAAUACCUGUUGUUAAUGUUAGGUAACGUACAGAGUGAACUUAAAGUAUUUCAGUCAUCUUGCUGAUCUUUUAAUAACCUCUUAUUUAUGCAGUGUGUCUUACACCAUCAAUGAUGGCCACAGGACCAAUCCAUUUGGUCUUCUUUCCCUCGUCACGGGCUUGUUUGACAGUUGGCCACAGUUUAUUUCUGCACUGUCUCUCCAUGUAGGUGAGAUCUUCAGCCAACCUGAGAUUCUUCUUCUUCAUCACAUCAGAGUUGAGGGAAGCUCUCCACACUUUGUGUCGGAAGGUGAUGUUUCCAGCUCCUUUAUCUCACCUGACGCCUGGAAUGCCGUCUGUGGUCUUCAGCAUGAUCACAAUGUGUUAUUUGUGUAUUUUGACUGGUUUACAAUGACAGGACAGUAAGCAUUAUCAGUGUAUAUUCCAAUAAAAGCAUCGAGUUUUUACUCCAACAUCGAUGAGGAUUUUCUUUUGGCUCUUUUGAACCAACAGGUUGGAAAGUCUCCUGAAACUAAGCGCAAUUGAAAAUCAAUUCCUUUCUUUUCUUCUGUGAUUAUUAUGUGCAAAGACUAGCCAUAAGAGGAGUCUUUUAGGUUCUCCUGAUGAGACAAUGUAAUUGUUUUACUUUUCUACUGGUAAAAUCUGAAGGAUUAUUCAUGCCAUGACACUGUCAUUUACAGACAGGCAAGAAAUUAAAGGCAUGCCCUGAACUCUUGACCCCUACACAGAGAGACAUUGUUGCACUUUGCUGCCAUGUUAGGGUUCACUUGUCAAAGGUAAAAGAGUUGUAAAAUCAUUACAAACUUGCUAUGACAGAUUAUGUUUGUCCCGUGACAAAUAGACUGAGUAGUUGAUUAUGAAAAAGGCGUGAUCAUACACCAUGGCUUUCACAGUCACCUGACGUCAACCAAGACUAUUCUGGGGAAAUGUGUUUACUAAACAAUUCCAGGAUACACUGAAGUUGUUGUGGAGGCAUGUUGUGGAGAAAAGAGAUGUUAUUUUUCCUGCCAUUUUUUAUCAGUUCAUUUUACUAUUUUCAGUUUUAUUAUUUGGAUAUUGUUAUCGCAUCAUAAUCAUAUAACAAGCAUUUGCAUUGAUGCAUUUAUUGAUAUUACCUUAAAGUUUGCAUUCAUUUUAAGUUCACUUUUAUUUACUUUAUUUACUUUAUGUACAGGUGCCAGUAUAAUCAUAUGAUAAUUUGUCAUUGCAGGAGCACCUAUGAUUAUUUUACACAUUGCAUUUGUGCCUUAAAGGAGUUGUGACUCAAGAAGUCGUCUCUUGAGGGUUAUAAACUUUUGGUUAGGAUUAGCCAAUCUACUGUGAGGAUGACCUGAGUUAUUGAAGGAUUGCACAUGCUUACAAUACAUUUGUAUUCUGUUCUUUUAUUAUUUUUAUUCAUGUAUACCUUUUUAUUAAGUUUUAAGUAGUGGUAUCAGAUUGAGACAUUUGUUUAAUACCUUUUUUAUAUAUUUUACAUAUAAGCCAAGAUCAUCACACAUAGGAUGGCUUCAGCCUGGUUGCAUAAGCAGAGAGGUCACAUAGGGUGCAAGGCAAGGGUAACAUAUGCACAGACAUACACACACACCCACACGUACACAGACAUACAAGUGAGUUUAUUUAGGUGAAAGGUAAGCAUGCUUGCUAAGGUUGCAGUUUUUGUGGGUGUAGGUGAUGGUUUGAUAAGAGUACAGGAUGUCUAACUGUCUUGUGGGGACUGUGGGUGCGGGGACUGCACCGAGAGAAGGAUGGAAGCCAAUGUUCUUUUAAAAAGGGGUCAAAAGUUAACUGGGGUUUUGUGGGUUUGAUUUGACGUAUGCAAAUAUUGUAUCUGUUUAAGACAUGAAGGGGCGUUGUAUUAAUCUGCCCAUAUAAAACCUUUAUGUUGUUUAUUGUUUGAGAGAUCCACCUUUGAUGUUCUGCAGGGUGUGUCUCCCACACGUGUGAUUUUCAUUAAAGUCAUCGCUUGAAUUCA
Long non-coding RNA from Oreochromis niloticus (Nile tilapia), 2911 nucleotides. RefSeq lists it as uncharacterized. The transcript has 2 exons. NCBI's taxonomy places the organism in Eukaryota, Metazoa, Chordata, Actinopteri, Cichliformes, Cichlidae. The record is from RefSeq and is a predicted model, not a curated record.